UUCAUUCAUUAUCUUGGAUUGUUUAUUCGCAUUACCUUAACAGGACCCUCAUUAAUAACCCCAGAAUGUUCAUCACCACUAGAAAGCUCUGAGUCUUCAUGAUGAACAAAAUCAGUGAGUGAACCUGAUUCGAAUUCUGAUUCAAUAUAGGGAAAUUUCUGGGGAGAAUUCUCCUCAGACAAGGAUUUCUCAUCAGGGGAGUCUACUACAACCACCAACUCUUCCUCCACAAAUUUUUUCAAUGCAUUUCCUACAUCUAAAAGAGACUGGAAGUACAAAACAUGAGCUGCAGCUAAAUCAUACCGAGAAUCCACUGCUCCUUUUAUCAGCUCCUUCCUCUCCCUACAAAAACUCACCAGUGGCGUAUUCUCCAUUCUUGAUACACCAACACCCAUACAACCAGAAUCAAAGCAAACCCAGAACACCCAAAAACCCAAUGAGAAAAACCCUAAAUUCGCUUCCUUGCUUGAACUAAAAAAACCUCCUUAUAUUAUUCAAUUUAACAGCAGAGUUCCCACAUUAGUAUUGGCUAGAUUAUUUGUUCAAUUUAGACAAAUGAUUACCCAAACAAGACUCUUAGAGAAUUGCAAGAAAAACCCAUGUAGGAGAGUAAAAGAAGAUACUGUAAAGAGACACAGAAAGGAGAGGAUACGAACAAUAAAUACACCGGAAAAUCCGGGAAUUUUCAUAGAUAAACGCAAAUAACGUGAAAAGAUUUUCAAAGUUAAACUCAUGAGCAAAUAAAGAGAUAAGUAUGAAACCCCCAUAAAGAUACAACCAGAUAUGCAAGCAUUGUAAUUCAAAUCUGACCGUUGAAAUCGCUGAUACUUGUCUAUGCAUGGAGGAGAGAGAGUGCGGGUAAUCAGUUGGCAUAAUGAAGGAAUCUAAAACUGAAGCUGAGACAAUUGGAUUUGAAUUCCUUCGGUUCUUGUUUUUUUCCAUGGUAGAGGGUUUUGGAUUUUUGUUUAGGCGCUAAAGAGUGUAGUAGUGAAAAAGGAGCCUUGGUUUUAGAGACUAAAACAAUGGUGGUUUUGAUCCUUCUUUUCCGUUUCGUUGCAGAGGAU
RNAcentral lists this long non-coding RNA (1064 nucleotides) under Carica papaya (papaya). RNAcentral describes it as "long non-coding RNA (CPAP_LNC014420)". The record is from RNAcentral. Lineage: Eukaryota; Viridiplantae; Streptophyta; Magnoliopsida; Brassicales; Caricaceae.